UGGGGAAUUUUGGACAAUGGGCGAAAGCCUGAUCCAGCAAUGCCGCGUGUGAAGAAGGCCUUCGGGUUGUAAAGCACUUUUGUCCGGAAAGAAAUCCUUGGCUCUAAUACAGUCGGGGGAUGACGGUACCGGAAGAAUAAGCACCGGCUAACUACGUGCCAGCAGCCGCGGUAAUACGUAGGGUGCAAGCGUUAAUCGGAAUUACUGGGCGUAAAGCGUGCGCAGGCGGUUUGCUAAGACCGAUGUGAAAUCCCCGGGCUCAACCUGGGAACUGCAUUGGUGACUGGCAGGCUAGAGUAUGGCAGAGGGGGGUAGAAUUCCACGUGUAGCAGUGAAAUGCGUAGAGAUGUGGAGGAAUACCGAUGGCGAAGGCAGCCCCCUGGGCCAAUACUGACGCUCAUGCACGAAAGCGUGGGGAGCAAACAGGAUUAGAUACCCUGGUAGUCCACGCCCUAAAACGAUGUCAACUAGUUGUUGGGGAUUCAUUUCCUUAGUAACGUAGCUAACGCGUGAAGUUGACCGCCUGGGGAGUACGGUCGCAAGAUUAAAACUCAAAUGAAUUGACGGGGUCAUAGCUGUUUCCU
This 584-nucleotide ribosomal RNA is filed under the name uncultured bacterium. Its description in RNAcentral is "partial 16S ribosomal RNA". It matches the Rfam family "Bacterial small subunit ribosomal RNA", at positions 355 to 1375 of the family's 1533-position model. The record is from RNAcentral.